CCAGGACCAUAGCGCUUUGGACCCACCUGAUCCCAUGCCGAACUCAGUAGUGAAACGAAGCAGCGCCGAUGGUAGUGUGGGGUCUCCCCAUGUGAGAGUAGGACAUCGCCAGGC
RNAcentral lists this ribosomal RNA (114 nucleotides) under Salinivibrio sp. MA427. The record is from RNAcentral. Lineage: Bacteria; Pseudomonadati; Pseudomonadota; Gammaproteobacteria; Vibrionales; Vibrionaceae.